CGUUUUCAAAACACCCUGAAAAUUUUCCUAAGUUGGAUAUUAUUUGAAUUUGCAAAUUACCACAUGAAUAAAUAAAGCCAAGCCCAAAGGAAGCUGGGGAAAAAUAAUAUAAUAACAAUUAGAAAGAGGAGGAGUUAUGCCGAUUAUUCAUGAAGGUGAAUAAAGUAAUUAAAAAAUAUGGAGGGAACAAAUAUUUAACAAGAAAUGCCGACAUAAUAGUUUAGAGAAGGUUGAAUCCAAGAAAACUACUGUAUAUCUCUAUUCUUUUUCUCUCUCUCUCUCUCUCUAGAAAAAUCAAUCUCAAAAUACUAGUAUAAGAAGAAGCUUGUUCCUCCAUCCUCCAUGAAAAUAAAUGUGUUUAAUAAACACCAACAAGAUAGAGAAUAGAUAGAGAACUGGUCAAGUCCAAGAUCCUUGGGAUGGAGAAAUUGGAAAAUGCAGGUACCAAAAAAAAGCCAUCAGAGUUUAAAAUGUCAAAGGGGACUGGGAUAAGAAAGUAAUUCAAGAAAUUACUGUUAUAUAUGAUGAGAGACUGAAGAUACAGACAAUGACUGGAUUAUACUUGAUGUGAUCAUAAAAUAUGGUGAGUACUUUAAUCUUAAAAAUUAUUGCAGUAAAAAUCACACUGCCAUCAACACCCCUCAA
Molecule: long non-coding RNA, 645 nt
Filed under: Fukomys damarensis (Damara mole-rat)
Lineage: Eukaryota; Metazoa; Chordata; Mammalia; Rodentia; Bathyergidae
Description: lncRNA (ENSFDAG00000032559.1)
Source: RNAcentral